AUGCAGAUCAAACUGUGCACCUCAGUUGAUGUCAGCUACUGAGACCUGCUGGAAUCUACAGGUCAUGAAUGUCCAAUCUUUUGACUUGUCCGAGUGGCAC
Molecule: long non-coding RNA, 100 nt
Organism: Lagopus leucura (white-tailed ptarmigan)
Lineage: Eukaryota; Metazoa; Chordata; Aves; Galliformes; Phasianidae
Exons: 3
Source: RefSeq, a predicted model, not a curated record